RNAcentral lists this ribosomal RNA (254 nucleotides) under uncultured bacterium. Its description in RNAcentral is "partial 16S ribosomal RNA". It matches the Rfam family "Bacterial small subunit ribosomal RNA", at positions 524 to 776 of the family's 1533-position model. The record is from RNAcentral.
UACAUAGGGGGCAAGCGUUGUCCGGAAUGACUGGGCGUAAAGGGUGUGUAGGCGGCUUCGUAAGUUGGAAGUGUAAUACCUAGAGCUUAACUCAGGUGCUGCUUCCAAAACUGCGGGGCUUGAGUGUCGGAGAGGAAAAUGGAAUUCCUAGUGUAGCGGUGGAAUGCGUAGAUAUUAGGAGGAACACCAGAGGCGAAAGCGAUUUUCUGGACGAUAACUGACGCUGAGGCACGAAAGCGUGGGGAGCAAACAGG